UGCCAGACUCCUACGGGAGGCAGCAGUGGGGGAUAUUGCACAAUGGGGGGAACCCUGAUGCAGCGACGCCGCGUGAGUGAAGAAGUAUUUCGGUAUGUAAAGCUCUAUCAGCAGGGAAGAGAAUGACGGUACCUGACUAAGAAGCCCCGGCUAACUACGUGCCAGCAGCCGCGGUAAUACGUAGGGGGCAAGCGUUAUCCGGAUUUACUGGGUGUAAAGGGUGCGCAGGUGGCAGGGCAAGUCAGAUGUGAAAGCCCGGGGCUCAACCCCGGAAUUGCAUUUGAAACUGUCCGGCUAGAGUGCAGGAGAGGUAAGCGGAAUUCCUAGUGUAGCGGUGAAAUGCGUAGAUAUUAGGAGGAACACCAGUGGCGAAGGCGGCUUACUGGACUGUAACUGACACUGAGGCACGAAAGCGUGGGGAGCAAACAGGAUUAGAUACCCUGGUAC
This 447-nucleotide ribosomal RNA is filed under the name uncultured bacterium. RNAcentral's name for it is "bacterial SSU rRNA". It matches the Rfam family "Bacterial small subunit ribosomal RNA", at positions 329 to 793 of the family's 1533-position model. The record is from RNAcentral.